GGAGCCGCAGCGAAAGCGAGUCUGAAUAGGGCGUUGAGUAUUUGGUCGUAGACCCGAAACCAGGUGAUCUACCCUUGGUCAGGUUGAAGUUCAGGUAACACUGAAUGGAGGACCGAACCGACUUACGUUGAAAAGUGAGCGGAUGAACUGAGGGUAGCGGAGAAAUUCCAAUCGAACUUGGAGAUAGCUGGUUCUCUCCGAAAUAGCUUUAGGGCUAGCCUCAAGUGAUGAUUAUUGGAGGUAGAGCACUGUUUGGACGAGGGGCCCCUCUCGGGUUACCGAAUUCAGACAAACUCCGAAUGCCAAUUAAUUUAACUUGGGAGUCAGAACAUGGGUGAUAAGGUCCGUGUUCGAAAGGGAAACAGCCCAGACCACCAGCUAAGGUCCCAAAAUAUAUGUUAAGUGGAAAAGGAUGUGGCGUUGCCCAGACAACUAGGAUGUUGGCUUAGAAGCAGCCAUCAUUUAAAGAGUGCGUAAUAGCUCACUAGUCGAGUGACACUGCGCCGAAAAUGUACCGGGGCUAAACAUAUUACCGAAGCUGUGGAUUGUCCUUUGGACAAUGGUAGGAGAGCGUUCUAAGGGCGUCGAAGCAUGAUCGCAAGGACAUGUGGAGCGCUUAGAAGUGAGAAUGCCGGUGUGAGUAGCGAAAGACGGGUGAGAAUCCCGUCCACCGAUUGACUAAGGUUUCCAGAGGAAGGCUCGUCCGCUCUGGGUUAGUCGGGUCCUAAGCUGAGGCCGACAGGCGUAGGCGAUGGAUAACAGGUUGAUAUUCCUGUACCACCUAGUAUCGUUUUAAUCGAUGGGGGGACGCAGUAGGAUAGGCGAAGCGUGCUGUUGGAGUGCACGUCCAAGCAGUAAGGCUGAGUGUUAGGCAAAUCCGGCACUCAUAAGGCUGAGCUGUGAUGGGGAGAGGAAAUUGUUUCCUCGAGUCGUUGAUUUCACACUGCCGAGAAAAGCCUCUAGAUAGAUAACAGGUGCCCGUACCGCAAACCGACACAGGUAGUCAAGAUGAGAAUUCUAAGGUGAGCGAGCGAACUCUCGUUAAGGAACUCGGCAAAAUGACCCCGUAACUUCGGGAGAAGGGGUGCUCUUUAGGGUUCACGCCCAGAAGAGCCGCAGUGAAUAGGCCCAAGCGACUGUUUAUCAAAAACACAGGUCUCUGCUAAACCGUAAGGUGAUGUAUAGGGGCUGACGCCUGCCCGGUGCUGGAAGGUUAAGAGGAGUGGUUAGCUUCUGCGAAGCUACGAAUCAAAGCCCCAGUAAACGGCGGCCGUAACUAUAACGGUCCUAAGGUAGCGAAAUUCCUUGUCGGGUAAGUUCCGACCCGCACGAAAGGCGUAACGAUUUGGGCACUGUCUCAACGAGAGACUCGGUGAAAUCAUAGUACCUGUGAAGAUGCAGGUUACCCGCGACAGGACGGAAAGACCCCGUGGAGCUUUACUGUAGCCUGAUAUUGAAAUUCGGCACAGCUUGUACAGGAUAGGUAGGAGCCUUUGAAACGUGAGCGCUAGCUUACGUGGAGGCGUUGGUGGGAUACUACCCUAGCUGUGUUGGCUUUCUAACCCGCACCACUUAUCGUGGUGGGAGACAGUGUCAGGCGGGCAGUUUGACUGGGGCGGUCGCCUCCUAAAAGGUAACGGAGGCGCUCAAAGGUUCCCUCAGAAUGGUUGGAAAUCAUUCAUAGAGUGUAAAGGCAUAAGGGAGCUUGACUGCGAGACCUACAAGUCGAGCAGGGUCGAAAGACGGACUUAGUGAUCCGGUGGUUCCGCAUGGAAGGGCCAUCGCUCAACGGAUAAAAGCUACCCCGGGGAUAACAGGCUUAUCUCCCCCAAGAGUUCACAUCGACGGGGAGGUUUGGCACCUCGAUGUCGGCUCAUCGCAUCCUGGGGCUGUAGUCGGUCCCAAGGGUUGGGCUGUUCGCCCAUUAAAGCGGUACGCGAGCUGGGUUCAGAACGUCGUGAGACAGUUCGGUCCCUAUCCGUCGUGGGCGUAGGAAAUUUGAGAGGAGCUGUCCUUAGUACGAGAGGACCGGGAUGGACAUACCUCUGGUGUACCAGUUGUCGUGCCAACGGCAUAGCUGGGUAGCUAUGUAUGGACGGGAUAAGUGCUGAAAGCAUCUAAGCAUGAAGCCCCCCUCAAGAUGAGAUUUCCCAACUUCGGUUAUAAGAUCCCUCGAAGAUGACGAGGUUAAUAGGUUCGAGGUGGAAGCGUGGUGACACGUGGAGCUGACGAAUACUAAUCGAUCGAAGACUUAAUCAA
Molecule: ribosomal RNA, 2259 nt
Filed under: Staphylococcus epidermidis M0881
Lineage: Bacteria; Bacillati; Bacillota; Bacilli; Caryophanales; Staphylococcaceae
Description: bacterial LSU rRNA
Rfam family: Bacterial large subunit ribosomal RNA
Source: RNAcentral